CUGGAGUAAGUUGCCAUUUCCUUCUCCAGUGCGUGAAAGUGAAGUCGCUCAGUCAUGUCCGACUCCUAGCGACCCCAUGGACUGCAGCGUACCAGGCUCCUCCGUCCAUGGGAUUUUCCAGGCAAGAGUACUGGAGUGGGGUGCCACUGCCUUCUCCCAGAAACUAUGCUAGAUUACUUUCUAUUUAGUUGGCAUGUGAAGGAAAUAAUACAUCUUUCUGUUUGCCCAAAGACACAUUCUUUUAUUCAUUCCUUUUUUCUGUAUUUUCAACAAGUAGCCCGAUAAUUCUCAUUCUGGUCUGCCUAGCUGCCAGUCCAAUCUUGUGCCCAUCCAGUACUUCAUGUGACACCCUUGCUGGUUGGCUUCUAGAGGGUAGUCACCUCCUAUCCUGUGUGCAUACAGCAACCACACUAACUGCCUGCUCACAGCUCUUCCCUCUUUCUGACUGGAAGCAGGGCUCAGGUUCCACAGAGGUGUCCAGACCCCUCUCCAAGGGACUCAGAGAAAACUGGCUCUGUCCCUGGCUCUAGGAGUCGAUAUUGACUGGCCGAAGCUCGACUUGGUAGUCUCAUUGUUCUGCCAAAGACAAGUUCAGUCCUAGGCACAGAUCUUAAUUCUGGCAAAUGAAAUACGAAGGGAAGUCAGGGAGCUCUUGGAAGUAUAUCCUAGUGGUAAAAAUAAACUUAUGGAAAGAAGAAGUACCUAGUCUUCUGGAUGUAGUCAUGUCUGCAUUGAUCUUAAACUCUAGUCGCCCCCCUGCAACUGUGAAGCGGAUUAGAAGGAGGAGGGCAGACCAGAAGGGUGGGAAAAAAGCAUGGAUCCUUGGGGAUGUGCCAGAGCAUGAGGUUAGCUCUGAAGCCAUCUCACUGUGGAAGUUCUUGUUUUAUGGGAUAAUAACAUUUCCUUAAUGAUUAAGCCAAGUUGGGGACUUCCCUGGUGGUCUAAUGGCUAAGACUCCAUGCUUCCCACGCAGGGGGCCUGGGUUCUAUCCCAGGUCAGGGAACUAGAUCACAAUUCAGAGUUUGCUUGCCAUAACUAAAGAUCCCAUGUGCUGCCACUAAGACCUGGCACAACCAAAUAAGUGAGUAAAUAGUUUUAAAAAUAGUCAUAAUUAAGCUAAGCUGCAUGUCGUCUGUUAUAUGUAGUUGAAAGUGUCCUAAAUAGUACACAUACCCUUGUUCUGCUUGGACACAGAUAUUUUCUCUAGGCCUCUUCACUUCUACUGCCUCGGUGAGUAUCCCAGCCCAGAAUAAGAAGCCUCUCCUUUGAGCUCCUUUAUCCACUCAGUAUGGCCUCUCCAUCUUUAUCUCUUCCUGUAAAUGUAAGACCCUGAUAUACCUUUUUGGUUCCCAAUGUCCAGCACACCACCUGAAAAACAGACACUUAAUUGCCAGUGGUACUUAGGAUGGAAAGAGAACAACUCUGGCCUUUACCGUCUGCAUGUUGGUUGGCACUCAUUUGCAUGGUCAGCAGUAUGUUUUAACGGAAAGAGGGUAGAUUUAGGGGUUGAUGGACUUGAGCCCCAGCUUCAUCACUUCCUAACUGUGGGUUCUCAUGCCACUUCCUUAACCUCUGUCAAUGCCUUUUCCCUCUUAUGUACAAUAUGGUUAACAAUACCUUACCGCAUUAUUUUGAGAAUGAAGUGGAGCAAGGAAUAUAAAAUGCCAAGGACAUACCUGACACUUGAUGACAUCAUGUACAAUAGCUGUGUCUAUGUGACUAGAUAGGCAACUUCUCCCAAAUUUGUGAUUGCUGAAGAGAACGCAUGGAAAGAGGACAGUCAGCAGUGGUUGGAGUGAAGAACUGGAUAUUUCACUAAUAUAUGCUCAGGUCAGGUGACAAAGAAGAGGAUGUCAAUACGAAAUACUUUCAAGACCAGGCUAAUUGAAACUGGAUGAGGACUCUGACACACAGUGUUUCUUCAGCUACUGUUCCAAGGCCACACAAGCUAGUAGAAGACCUGGAU
Molecule: long non-coding RNA, 1966 nt
Organism: Bos taurus (domestic cattle)
Lineage: Eukaryota; Metazoa; Chordata; Mammalia; Artiodactyla; Bovidae
Source: Ensembl